Molecule: unclassified non-coding RNA, 336 nt
Filed under: soil metagenome
Description: partial contains 5.8S ribosomal RNA, internal transcribed spacer 2, and large subunit ribosomal RNA
Rfam family: 5.8S ribosomal RNA (bases 1-120)
Source: RNAcentral
GAUGAAGAACGCAGCGAAAUGCGAUAAGUAAUGUGAAUUGCAGAAUUCAGUGAAUCAUCGAAUCUUUGAACGCACAUUGCGCCCGCCAGUAUUCUGGCGGGCAUGCCUGUUCGAGCGUCAUUUCAACCAUCAAGCCCCCGGCUUGUGUUGGGGACCUGCGGCUGCCGCAGGCCCUGAAAACCAGUGGCGGGCUCGCUGUCACACCGAGCGUAGUAGAUUUUCAUCUCGCUCAGGGCGUGCUGCGGGUUCCGGCCGUAAACAGCCUUAUUUACCCAAGGUUGACCUCGGAUCAGGUAGGAAGACCCGCUGAACUUAAGCAUAUCAAUAAGCGGAGGA